This 478-nucleotide ribosomal RNA is filed under the name uncultured bacterium. RNAcentral describes it as "partial 16S ribosomal RNA". It matches the Rfam family "Bacterial small subunit ribosomal RNA", at positions 28 to 507 of the family's 1533-position model. The record is from RNAcentral.
GAUGAACGCUGGCGGCGUGCUUAACACAUGCAAGGCGAACGGGAAACCGGGGAGGGAAGCGGCGGCAGAGGGAGCGGGGGGCGAGGGGCGGACGGGGGAGGAACGCGGGGGGAACCGGCCGGAGACAGGGGGAGAACAGGCAGAAAUGGCUGCGAAUACCGCAUAAGCGCACAGAGCUGCAUGGCUCAGUGUGAAAAACUCCGGUGGUAUAAGAUGGACCCGCGUUGGAUUAGCUGGUUGGUGGGGUAACGGCCCACCAAGGCGACGAUCCAUAGCCGGCCUGAGAGGGUGCACGGCCACAUUGGGACUGAGACACGGCCCAGACUCCUACGGGAGGCCGCAGUGGGGAAUAUUGCACAAUGGGGGAAACCCUGAUGCCGCGCCGCCGCGUGCAGGCAGAAGUCUCUCGGUAUGUAAACUUCUAUCAGCAGGGAAGAUAAUGACGGUACCUGACUAAGAAGCCCCGGCUAACUACGUG